This 252-nucleotide long non-coding RNA is filed under the name Mytilus galloprovincialis (Mediterranean mussel). The record is from RNAcentral. Lineage: Eukaryota; Metazoa; Mollusca; Bivalvia; Mytilida; Mytilidae.
GGUGAGGUUUUAAGAAAACGGGAAAAAUCGGCCCUGAAAUUAAUUUAAAUUUAAAAGAAUAUGGAUUUAAAAUGGUGCUUAAUUAUAAAAUAAAGGAAAAUCAAAUUAUGGGCGACAAUGAUUAAAAAAUAAAUAUUUGAUAAUCCCACUCUAAGCAUUAAAACCCUCAUUUAUAACCGUUGACAUGUUCCCCUACGACUAUGUUCAUUGACUCUGGUACCAAACAAAACAAAAUAUGCAUUAAUAUAUCAU